GUGGGGAAUAUUGCACAAUGGGCGAAAGCCUGAUGCAGCAACGCCGCGUGAGGGACGACGGCCUUCGGGUUGUAAACCUCUUUUAGUAGGGAAGAAGCGAAAGUGACGGUACCUGCAGAAAAAGCACCGGCUAACUACGUGCCAGCAGCCGCGGUAAUACGUAGGGUGCAAGCGUUAUCCGGAAUUAUUGGGCGUAAAGAGCUCGUAGGCGGUCUGUCGCGUCUGCUGUGAAAACUGGAGGCUCAACCUCCAGCCUGCAGUGGGUACGGGCAGACUAGAGUGCGGUAGGGGAGAGUGGAAUUCCUGGUGUAGCGGUGGAAUGCGCAGAUAUCAGGAGGAACACCGAUGGCGAAGGCAGAUCUCUGGGCCGUAACUGACGCUGAGGAGCGAAAGCGUGGGGAGCGAACAGGAUUAGAAACCCCUGUAGUCC
RNAcentral lists this ribosomal RNA (430 nucleotides) under uncultured bacterium. RNAcentral's name for it is "partial 16S ribosomal RNA". It matches the Rfam family "Bacterial small subunit ribosomal RNA", at positions 354 to 796 of the family's 1533-position model. The record is from RNAcentral.